Molecule: transfer RNA, 72 nt
Filed under: Microbacterium sp. CH12i
Lineage: Bacteria; Bacillati; Actinomycetota; Actinomycetes; Micrococcales; Microbacteriaceae
Also listed under: 5 other names
Rfam family: tRNA
About the family: Transfer RNA (tRNA) molecules are approximately 80 nucleotides in length. Their secondary structure includes four short double-helical elements and three loops (D, anti-codon, and T loops).
Source: Rfam by way of RNAcentral
GCCUCUGUAGCUCAAUGGAAGAGCAGUUCCGUCCUAAGGAAAGGGUUGGGGGUUCGACUCCCUCCAGGGGCA